Molecule: transfer RNA, 68 nt
Filed under: Parapenaeopsis hungerfordi
Lineage: Eukaryota; Metazoa; Arthropoda; Malacostraca; Decapoda; Penaeidae
Description: tRNA-Thr
Rfam family: tRNA
About the family: Transfer RNA (tRNA) molecules are approximately 80 nucleotides in length. Their secondary structure includes four short double-helical elements and three loops (D, anti-codon, and T loops).
Source: RNAcentral
GUUUUAAUAGUUUAAACAAAACACCAGUCUUGUAAACUGGAAUUGAAGACAUAAUUCUUCUUAAAGCA